Molecule: long non-coding RNA, 342 nt
Filed under: Elaeis guineensis (African oil palm)
Lineage: Eukaryota; Viridiplantae; Streptophyta; Magnoliopsida; Arecales; Arecaceae
Description: long non-coding RNA (EGUI_LNC040373)
Source: RNAcentral
AUUAAAGAGAUUCGAUAGAGUACCGCGUCCGUCGGAUAGAUACUUCGAUUUCUAGUUUCAGGAUGUGAUCCUGUUGAACUCGAUGAGAACAACAAGGAUCUGAUCAUCUACAUGGAUGCCAUGUAGAGGUCCGACUCAGAUUAGUGGCUUGGAGCCAUAAAGUUCGAAAUAGAAUCUGUGAAGGUCAACAGUGUAUAGACACUCGUUGAUCCACUCGAAAGGGUAAAACCCAUAGAGUCUAAGUAGAUCUUCAAUAGGAUCAGAGUGACGCAGAUGAGAAGGUGAAGACCUACAAAGCCCGUCUGGUUGUCUAAGGAUAUUAUCAACGUUAUAGUAUUGACC